Molecule: long non-coding RNA, 335 nt
Filed under: Anas platyrhynchos platyrhynchos (common mallard)
Lineage: Eukaryota; Metazoa; Chordata; Aves; Anseriformes; Anatidae
Description: lncRNA (ENSAPLG00000021317.1)
Source: RNAcentral
UCUGGAGGAUCUAUAUGGGUUAUUUGGGGUCUGGUGGCUCCCCAUGGGUUAUUUGGGGUCUGGAGAGUCUGUAUGGGAUAUUUGGGGUCUGGAGGCUCCCUAUGGGUUAUUUGGGGUCUAGGAGGGUCCGUAUGGGUUAUUUGGGAUCUUGGAGUGUCCCAUGGGAUAUUUGGGGUCUGGAGGAUCUAUAUGGGUUAUUUGGGGUCUGGAGGCUCCGUAUGGGUUAUUUGGGGUCUGGGGGUGCCCCGCGGGUAUUUUUGGGGUUUUGGGGGGGCUCAGUGGCGGUGCUGACGGGGCCGUGCAGUACCUGGGGUACUUCGGGGACGCCAAGCACC